UACGAGAGGCCCAAACGUUAUUCGGAAUCACUCGGCUUAAAGAGUUCGUAGGCGGUGCGGUAAGUGGGGUGUGAAAGCCCUCGGCCUAACCGAGGAAUUGCGCUCCAAACUACCACACUCGAGGAAGAUAGAGGUGAGCAGAACUGAUGGUGGAGCGGUGAAAUGCGUUGAUAUCAUCAGGAAUACCGGAGGCGAAGGCGGCUCACUGGGGGUCUUCUGACGCUGAGGAACGAAAGCCAGGGGAGCGAACGGG
Molecule: ribosomal RNA, 253 nt
Filed under: uncultured bacterium
Lineage: Bacteria
Description: partial 16S ribosomal RNA
Rfam family: Bacterial small subunit ribosomal RNA
Source: RNAcentral